This is a small nuclear RNA of Manis pentadactyla (Chinese pangolin), 103 nucleotides long. The record is from RefSeq and is a predicted model, not a curated record. NCBI's taxonomy places the organism in Eukaryota, Metazoa, Chordata, Mammalia, Pholidota, Manidae.
UCACUAUAGUAGUGCAUGUUAUAAACUUAGAAGGAUACAGAAAAAGUUAACAAAGUCCCUGUGCAAGAAUGAUACACAUAUUUUUGAACAGUUCCUAUUAUUU